GAUGAACGCUAGCUACAGGCUUAACACAUGCAAGUCGAGGGGAAACGAUAUUGGAAGCUUGCUUCUGAUAGGCGUCGACCGGCGCACGGGUGAGUAACGCGUAUCCAACCUGCCCAUCACUUGGGGAUAACCUUGUGAAAGUAAGACUAAUACCCAAUGACGUCUCUAGAAGACAUCUGAAAGAGAUUAAAGAUUUAUCGGUGAUGGAUGGGGAUGCGUCUGAUUAGCUUGUUGGCGGGGUAACGGCCCACCAAGGCGACGAUCAGUAGGGGUUCUGAGAGGAAGGUCCCCCACAUUGGAACUGAGACACGGUCCAAACUCCUACGGGAGGCAGCAGUGAGGAAUAUUGGUCCAAUGGGACGAGAGUCUGGAACCAGCCAACGUAGCGUGCAGGAUGACGGCCCUAUGGGUUGUAAACUGCUUUAU
This 426-nucleotide ribosomal RNA is filed under the name uncultured bacterium. RNAcentral describes it as "bacterial SSU rRNA". It matches the Rfam family "Bacterial small subunit ribosomal RNA", at positions 28 to 438 of the family's 1533-position model. The record is from RNAcentral.